UGAUCCGGUGCUUGCACCGGGGAUUAGUGGCGAACGGGUGAGUAACACGUGAGUAACCUGCCCUUGACUCUGGGAUAAGCCUGGGAAACCGGGUCUAAUACCGGAUACGACCUGUCACCGCAUGGUGGCGGGUGGAAAGAUUUUUUGGUUUUGGAUGGACUCGCGGCCUAUCAGCUUGUUGGUGAGGUAAUGGCUCACCAAGGCGACGACGGGUAGCCGGCCUGAGAGGGUGACCGGCCACACUGGGACUGAGACACGGCCCAGACUCCUACGGGAGGCAGCAGUGGGGAAUAUUGCACAAUGGGCGAAAGCCUGAUGCAGCGACGCCGCGUGAGGGAUGACGGCCUUCGGGUUGUAAACCUCUUUCAGCAGGGAAGAAGCGAAAGUGACGGUACCUGCAGAAGAAGCGCCGGCUAACUACGUGCCAGCAGCCGCGGUAAUACGUAGGGCGCAAGCGUUGUCCGGAAUUAUUGGGCGUAAAGAGCUCGUAGGCGGUUUGUCGCGUCUGCUGUGAAAGCCCGGGGCUCAACCCCGGGUCUGCAGUGGGUACGGGCAGACUAGAGUGCAGUAGGGGAGACUGGAAUUCCUGGUGUAGCGGUGAAAUGCGCAGAUAUCAGGAGGAACACCGAUGGCGAAGGCAGGUCUCUGGGCUGUAACUGACGCUGAGGAGCGAAAGCAUGGGGAGCGAACAGGAUUAGAUACCCUGGUAGUCCAUGCCGUAAACGUUGGGCACUAGGUGUGGGGGACAUUCCACGUUUUCCGCGCCGUAGCUAACGCAUUAAGUGCCCCGCCUGGGGAGUACGGCCGCAAGGCUAAAACUCAAAGGAAUUGACGGGGGGCCCGCACAAGCGGCGGAGCAUGCGGAUUAAUU
Molecule: ribosomal RNA, 871 nt
Filed under: Crystallibacter crystallopoietes
Lineage: Bacteria; Bacillati; Actinomycetota; Actinomycetes; Micrococcales; Micrococcaceae
Description: bacterial SSU rRNA
Rfam family: Bacterial small subunit ribosomal RNA
Source: RNAcentral